This 3091-nucleotide ribosomal RNA is filed under the name Capsicum annuum var. glabriusculum (American bird pepper). RNAcentral's name for it is "bacterial LSU rRNA". The stretch from base 1569 to 3087 matches the Rfam family "Bacterial large subunit ribosomal RNA". Lineage: Eukaryota; Viridiplantae; Streptophyta; Magnoliopsida; Solanales; Solanaceae. The record is from RNAcentral.
AUUGGAUUAGUCAAGAAGUGUAUGAAUCUCCCUUUUGUGAUACUCGUGGUGUUGAUAGGUUGUAUAAGGACCAAACUCUUUUUGUGAGUAUGCAAGCACUAGUUGAUCCUUUAGAUGACAAAAUCAAUUCUUUUCAUAAGAAUGAUUUAUGUCUAUCUAGUGCUAGCACUUAUAACUUGAAUAAGGUUCCAUUAUCAUUUGACAAGAGUAUUCACAAACUACAUUACCCUCUUGUAGAUGAUAGUACCUUGGUUGAUGUCUUCACACUUGAUUCCUUCCUAUACUACCUCUUUUCCUAUGAUGAUAACUAUGUUAAUUUUGAAUUGAUAUUAUGUAGAGGUAGUAAGCUUGGUGUCUGUUUUCCUUUCUUGAAUAAAGAUGAUUGUAUUUUUUCCUUUCUUUAAUGAAGAUUAUUGUGAGUUUUAUUCUCUAGUAAAAGGAAUGGCUAACCUCGGCUUAGAUUUUUGUCUAUUUCAUUCAUUUGAUCCCGGUAUACUAUUGGGGUGGGGAAGGAUGUGUUUUGGAUUGCAUUCCUUUUUUCUUGAUAUCUGUCUUAACCAUGUCCUUUGUGAUGUUUGUAGUAAGUAUUUCAUGAUUGUAACAAAGGAUAGUUGGGUGUAUUCCAAAAGUGUACCCCCUUGGCAUAAUUGUAUUGUUGAUCUUGAUAAAGUAUAUGGUCCUUUGAACAUGUGUAAUGAAAGCCCUUAUGUUAAUCUUGUUGAUAAUGACCCCUAGUGGUAGGUAAUGCCUUGAAUGAUUGUGAACUUGAUAACCUAGUGAAAGGAGUGGGCCAUCUCGACUUAAACCUUUAUCAUUUGCUCCCAUUUGACCCUGGAAUACUCUUGAGAUGUGAAGGAUAUAGUUGCUGGUCGUGCUCACUUAUUUUUGAUAUUGAUGCUAUUCAUGUCUUUGUUAUACUUUAUGCUAAGUUUUUUUAUGUCAAAAAGCAAGGAUAUGUGGAUGUAUGUCAAGUGUGAGCAACCAUGAGUUAAUGAUAUAAGUGUGGUGCUAAUACUAACCCUCCUACCAAGAGGAUUUUGUGUUUGUUUUUGCUCUCUCUUUGGUUUUUGCAAGAUCUGAAUUUGAGGAAAAAUUCCUCCAAGAUGGAGAGGAUGAUACAAGCACAAUGAGCCUCAAGAGCACAACCAAAAUGGAGAGGAUGAUACAAGCACAAUGAGCCUCAAGAGCACAAGAUAUUGUCUAAGGGUUAAGGCUUUGGAAUUGACAAGCAAUUAAAGACUUUUUGAAGUAUUUUGAAGCCUUGGUCAAGAGAAGGAAGAAGGGGAAUUUAUACACCCAUAGGCGCCUCAAAGGAAGGAUAAUGAAGACUUUUUACACUUCAAAAGAGCACUCUAUAGGCGCCUCCUUUUAAGUCCUCAUUAAGGGCAUUUUUGUCCUUUGGCAUGUAAUAGUAUAAAUAGACCCUUUAGCUUGUAUUUUCAUUAGACUUUGAUGAAUUGAAAUUGAGUAUUACUCAUAGUUUGUAGAUCUAACCAAUUAUGCUCUAUUUAACCAGCAUAUUAGUAGUUGCUUGAGAAGAUGGUACUAAUAUUUUUUACAUCAGUAUUCGUACUGAAUGCAAUUGUAGCCGUUGGCUAUAGCUUAAAUUGGCAUACAUACAUACUGUAAAAGAAGGGAAGGGACCCAUUUAACGGCUUAAAAUGUUUUGGAUAUCUUUAGAAAGUUAGGGUUUUCACUUGUCUUGGAUGAUUUGGCAAGAAAGGUGUGCUUGAGGAAGUGUGUUUCCUUUGGGUCACCUAAGAGGGAGGUUUAAACUCUUAUAUGUGAGGUGUGUUGAAGAUUUUGAAACAUCUUCUAGUGCUAAUCAUUGAAUAGCAGUAAGGGUCUGUUUAUCUAUCCUUUAAUUUCAAGCAUUCUUCUUCUUUAUCUCCAUUCUAUAUGUUGUUUUCUCUUUAUUUGGUUUCUGGAAUUUACAUCUUAUAGCCAAUUUCAUGUUUUUGGUAGUCUUUAGGCUAUCACGUCGGCCCAGUGCCGGAAGGUCAAGAAAGUUGGUGACCUGAUGACAGGGGAGCCGGCGACCAAAGCCCUGGUGAACAGCAACCGUAACUAUAACGGUCCUAAGGUAGCGAAAUUCCUUGUCGGGUAAGUUCUAACCCACACGAAAGGCGUAACGAUCUGGGCACUGUCUCGGUGAGAGGCUCGGUAAAAUAGACAUGUCUGUGAAGAUAAGGACUACCUGCACCUGGAAAGAAAGACCCUGUGAAGCUUCACUGUUCCCUGGGAUUGGCUUUGGGCCUUUCCUGCGCAGCUUAGGUGGAAGGCGAAGAAGGCCUUUUCCGCGGGGGACCCAAGCCAUCAGUGAGAUAUUACUCUGGAAGGGAUAGAAUUCUAACCUUGUGUCAGGACCUAUGGGCCAAGGGACAGUCUCAGGUAGACAAUUUCUAUUAGGCGUAGGCCUCCCAAAUGGUAACGGAGGUGUGCAAAGGUUUCCUCGGGCCGGACGGAGAUUAUCCCUCGAGUGCAAAGGCAGAAGGGAGCUUGACUACAAGACCCACUCGUCGACCAGGGACAAAAGUCGGCCUUAGUAAUCUGACGGUGCCGAGUGGAAGGGCCAUCGCUCAAUGGAUAAAAGUUACUCUAGGGAUAACAGGCUGAUCUUCCCCAAGAGGUUACAUCAACAAAAAGGUUUGGCACCUCGAUGUCGGCUCUUCGCCACCUGGGGCUGUAGUAUGUUCCAAGGGUUGGGCUGCUCUCCCAUUAAAGCGGUACGUGAGAUGGGUUCAGAAUGUCAUGAGAUAAUUUGGUCCAUAUUCGGUGUGGGCGUUAGAGCAUUGAGAGGACCUUUCCCUAGUACGAGAGGACCGAGAAGGACGCACCUCUGGUGUACCAGUUAUCGUGCCCACGGUAAAUGCUGGGUAGCCAAAUACGGAGCAGAUAACUGCUGAAAGUAUAUAAGUAGUAAGCCCACCCCAAGAUGAGUUCUCUCCUAUUCCAACUUUCCCAAAGCUUUCGGUAGCACAGCCGAGACAGUGACAGGUUCUCUGCCCCUGCGGGGAUGGAGCGACAGAAGUGUUUUUGAGAAUUUAAGAGAAGUUCACGGCGAGACAAGCCAUUUAUCAUUACGAUAGGU